AGCAUUGAUUCUGUGGCCAAUCAGAGGGAGCGUUUGGCGCCCCAGGGAUGGGUUUCCACGUGGGCUUCCAGGUUCCCCUGAGGCCUCCUGGGGGCAUGGCCGCCCUGGGACAGGAAACCGAGGCAAAGAGGCAGAGUCAGCUAUGUCAUCUGAAGGGUCCAUAGAAAAUGAAAACGUGCCGGCACGUGGUGGAGCGUCUGUCAUCCCAGCACCUAGGAAGGCCGAGGCGACUGUGGAUUGCCGUCCCUGCCCACCUAAGCCCCUGUGUCGUUUUCUCUUGAGGUGCUUGUCACUCAGUGUGGACACAGACCUGCUGCCUCAUCGCCACUUUCCAGAAACAUUUGCAGAGCCGUGUUAUGUGGUUGCCCGAGUUCUGGACAGACACACCAGGAGCAGAGGCUGGCCCUGUCCUGAUGGGGGCUUGCUGUGUGGCCCUGGGCAAGCUGCUGGACCUCUCUGAGCCUCAGUGUCCCCUUCUGUAGAGUGGAGGUAACACAGCCAGUGAGGACAUGGAGAAAGAGUGGGCAGGGGAGGCUCAUUCACUGAGAAUUUUUUCUGGUUUUUUGCAGGGAGGUCACCCAGUGAGUGUGGCUAAAACAAGAUGUGGGGGAGGGAUCCCCCCAGGGAGCAUGCGUGGCUUGCAGGGAGAGGCAGA
Long non-coding RNA from Gorilla gorilla gorilla (western lowland gorilla), 655 nucleotides. RefSeq lists it as uncharacterized. The record is from RefSeq and is a predicted model, not a curated record. The transcript is spliced from 4 exons. Lineage: Eukaryota; Metazoa; Chordata; Mammalia; Primates; Hominidae.